This 463-nucleotide long non-coding RNA is filed under the name Physcomitrium patens. RNAcentral's name for it is "long non-coding RNA (PPAT_LNC001204)". Lineage: Eukaryota; Viridiplantae; Streptophyta; Bryopsida; Funariales; Funariaceae. The record is from RNAcentral.
UUUUGGUUCUGGUGUCUGUAAUUUGUAGUUGUGGAAGGGAGAGCCAUUGUCCUUCACUGCCACGUGGCUAUUUAUUUAUUUAUUUAUACAUAUAUAUUUUUGGUUUGCUGUCAUGCUUUUGUGAUAGCAUAAGAAGAAUCUUGAAGAGUGGGGAGGGAGAAUCGAUUUAUAUCUCCCAUUGGAAGAAAAAUACAUUCUCUACGACGCCUCACUUUGGCUGCUUGUGUGGCUUUUGAUGCCUUUUAAUCAUGAAAAAACUCAUUCUCAUGUUUCAAUAAAAGUGGAAUAUCUAUAUAUAUAUAUAUAUAUAGAUAGACACAUGAAUGGUAUGUAUGGACCCCAUAGGUACCAUUGUUCUUGUUCUUGAUGAAUUGAUUGACUUGAACAUUACAAAUAAUGUUUUUUAAUAUACAUUAAAUGUUUCUAUAAUAAGAUUGUAACUAUUUGGAAUAAAUAAUUGUUU